This 253-nucleotide ribosomal RNA is filed under the name uncultured bacterium. RNAcentral describes it as "partial 16S ribosomal RNA". It matches the Rfam family "Bacterial small subunit ribosomal RNA", at positions 524 to 776 of the family's 1533-position model. The record is from RNAcentral.
UACGGAGGGUGCAAGCGUUAAUCGGAAUUACUGGGCGUAAAGCGUGCGCAGGCGGUUUGCUAAGACCGAUGUGAAAUCCCCGGGCUCAACCUGGGAACUGCAUUGGUGACUGGCAGGCUAGAGUAUGGCAGAGGGGGGUAGAAUUCCACGUGUAGCAGUGAAAUGCGUAGAGAUCGGAAAGAACACCAACGGCGAAAGCACUCUGCUGGGCCGACACUGACACUGAGAGACGAAAGCUAGGGGAGCGAAUGGG